AUAAAGUUCAAAAUUUUAAUUACCAUAAUCAUGUUAAGUUUGCAUUUGGACUCAAAGGAGACAAAAUAGAAGAAAACGAUAGUGGAAUUUCAUCUGAUCUUCUUUUAGGACCAGCAGGAUGACACUCCCAAGAAGAACUGGAAUGCAGCAGGAAUGAUGAAGGUGAUGCCGUUUGGAAGUCGUUUGUUUGCCUCAUCAUUUGCAGUGGGAUGAGGUCAAGUUUUCCUUCUUAGGAAGUAUUGCAGAACAACACCGUGUACAGCAAAUAAAUGCAUGGAACAGGCACCUGCGGCUGACAGCAGUUAAACAGCUGCAAACAGACAGCUCCAGCUCUCCGUGCAUCCCUAUCAGCUCCUUCCCUGCAGCGCCAUUCCUCCCAAGUCCCCUGUUACGUCAUUAGUUAAUCCACUCGCAGUGUGUCACUGCAGCUCAGGCUAUAACAUCUUUGGGGAAUGGGCAGUUGUUCGAGCAUAUGCUGUCCAUUGAAAGUCCUUUACAGGUGACUGAAAUAUAAGCACCAAGAUGCCCAGAUUGCUCUCAUAUGACAAGCUUAAUUUGGUGAUCUGAAGGAAACAAUGGAAUCACCAUAUAAAAUACAACUGCAUAAAUCAGUAAUAUACUGUAAGGAAUUAUUCUAAAUGGACUGGGAAGUUGUAGGUUCAUGAGGUGCCAGCAUUGGAGGAUUCACUUUAGGAAAUACUUCAUUGGAAAAAUUGAAUUUGGAAACAGGCUAUUAUGGCUAAAUAAUGGGCUCUGGACCAGACAUGAUGGACCCGCCUCUGUUAACUCUCACCUCUAGCAGGACUUGUGCAGCUCAUUAAGAAGGUUUUAAUGCAAUGACACAUGCUGGUAAUACUGUACAGACAUGGAAAUGUAUGAAAGAUUAAUUCUAUAAAAUAUCCCAUAGGCAUAGACUGAAGACGGCUAAAAUUAAUCUGCCAAAUACUAGUAAUUAUCUUUUAUAGUCUGUCAAAACUUGUACUUGCAAGUUUGUAUAAAUCUUUGUCGUGGCACUUUCUUCCUCAGCCACAGUUGAGCAUAUGGAGGUUUAAAAGGACUGAGCCUGAGUCAACUGCACAACGGAUGUGUCUUGCCAAAGCUUCUUAAAACAAGCAUUUAAGAUCAUUUUACUUGUUAUAUGUAUGUUCCGCUCCCAAAGCCUGGAUUAUCCAGUCCAGCCCUGGUUCCUGGGGGGGGUUUGUAGCCCGUCCAAUGGUCCUGAUCAUCAGGUGCAGACACCCUCCCUUGAGGGCACACCAGGCUUUCAUCCAAACAUGGAUUAGGUGUGACCAACACCUGGCAGAGGUGGUGCUGGAAAGCCUUCCUCUCCCUCAGCACACCCAUAGGAGAUUGAGGAAGAUGGGGAGUUUUGAUCCCUCAGAACAGGAAGGGAACAUAACACCUGAAAGACUUUGCACUCUUGCUGAGAAACACAGCCUUGGGGUAUGUAUCAGAUACUUUUUGUUAACUGUGUUAUUAAUUGUGUUUGCAUUUGAGAGAUGUUCCUUGUCUUCAUGUGCACUAGUGCCCUCCUACAAUAAGAGAGGCUUUCACUCUGCCCUGUUGGGGUGAAUGCUACUGAUAAUGUUGAUAGUAGAGCGUCUUUUUUCCUUCAUAGUCCUUCACCUUGUAGUCUUGGGCAAGGUAAGAAUCUUAGGCUGAAACACUUUUUUGCUUUCUCCCCCCUUUUGAAACUUUUAUUUUAAGAGAAAGCAUUCUCUCAUUCUUGUGAGUGUAGAAAAAAAAUGCAUUAGACACCUCAAGACUUUAAAACCAGAGCACAAUUUAUUACUUUUGAACCAAUUUAAUAAUUUUUUUUUUUGCUUGAAUAGUAAAUGCUUUGACUGUGCAAUUCUGAAAGAUACCCUUCAUUCCUCUGUUUAUCUGUGUUCAGCUGGAGGUGGAAGGAAUAAUCUAAUUCUUAGUCAAAAAUUGGAAGCAAGUUAUUUUCUUUAAUAUCAUCUGUUGUUCUUCCAUGAUCUGUG
This is a long non-coding RNA of Neopelma chrysocephalum (saffron-crested tyrant-manakin), 1985 nucleotides long. RefSeq lists it as uncharacterized. The record is from RefSeq and is a predicted model, not a curated record. The transcript has 5 exons. Lineage: Eukaryota; Metazoa; Chordata; Aves; Passeriformes; Pipridae.